GGUGAACGCUGGCGGCGUGCCUAACACAUGCAAGUCGAGCGGUGCAGUUUGAAGCUUCGGUGGAAAGCUGCAUAGCGGCGGACGGGUGAGGAAAACGUAGGAACGUGCCCCUUGGAGUUGGAUAGCCACGGGAAACUGUGGGUAAACCGACAUAGACUCGAGAGAGUAAAGGCCGAAAGGCGCCGAGGGAGCGGUCUGCGUCCCAUCAGGUAGUUGGUAGGGUAAAGGCCUACCAAGCCGACGACGGGUAACCGGUCUGAGAGGAUGGCCGGUCACAAGGGCACUGAGAGACGGGCCCUACUCCUACGGGAGGCAGCAGUGGGGGAUUUUGGACAAUGGGCGAAAGCCUGAUCCAGCGACGCCGCGUGGAGGACGAAGCCCUUCGGGGUGUAAACUCCUUUUCUCAGGGAAAAAAGGAUGAUGGUACCUGAGGAAUAAGCCCCGGCUAACUACGUG
RNAcentral lists this ribosomal RNA (456 nucleotides) under uncultured bacterium. Its description in RNAcentral is "bacterial SSU rRNA". It matches the Rfam family "Bacterial small subunit ribosomal RNA", at positions 28 to 507 of the family's 1533-position model. The record is from RNAcentral.